AGAGUUUGAUCAUGGCUCAGAGCGAACGCUGGCGGCAGGCCUAAUACAUGCAAGUCGAGCGCCCCUUCGGGGGAGCGGCGGACGGGUGAGUAACGCGUGGGAACGUGCCCUUUGGUUCGGAACAACACAGGGAAACUUGUGCUAAUACCGAAUGUGCCCUUCGGGGGAAAGAUUUAUCGCCAUUGGAGCGGCCCGCGUUGGAUUAGGUAGUUGGUGGGGUCAAGGCCUACCAAGCCUACGAUCCAUAGCUGGUCUGAGAGGAUGAUCAGCCACACUGGGACUGAGACACGGCCCAGACUCCUACGGGAGGCAGCAGUAGGGAAUCUUGCGCAAUGGGCGAAAGCCUGACGCAGCCAUGCCGCGUGUAUGAUGAAGGUCUUAGGAUUGUAAAAUACUUUCACCGGGGAAGAUAAUGACGGUACCCGGAGAAGAAGCCCCGGCUAACUUCGUGCCAGCAGCCGCGGUAAUACGAAGGGGGCUAGCGUUGCUCGGAAUUACUGGGCGUAAAGGGCGCGUAGGCGGAUAUUUAAGUCGGGGGUGAAAGCCCAGGGCUCAACCCUGGAAUUGCCUUCGAUACUGGAUAUCUUGAGUUCGGGAGAGGUGAGUGGAAUGCCGAGUGUAGAGGUGAAAUUCGUAGAUAUUCGGCGGAACACCAGUGGCGAAGGCGACUCACUGGCCCGAUACUGACGCUGAGGCGCGAAAGCGUGGGGAGCAAACAGGAUUAGAUACCCUAGUAGUCC
RNAcentral lists this ribosomal RNA (740 nucleotides) under uncultured bacterium. Its description in RNAcentral is "bacterial SSU rRNA". It matches the Rfam family "Bacterial small subunit ribosomal RNA", at positions 8 to 796 of the family's 1533-position model. The record is from RNAcentral.